ACCGAAUGGAUAACCGAACGCCU
RNAcentral lists this non-coding RNA (23 nucleotides) under Arabidopsis thaliana (thale cress). Lineage: Eukaryota; Viridiplantae; Streptophyta; Magnoliopsida; Brassicales; Brassicaceae. The record is from RNAcentral.